UGGGAGUGGAAACAGAGCCUCUUGUUCACACUCCACACCCUCAUCUUCCAGCAGUGAGGGUAGACUAUUAAGGUUCUCAUGUCAUCAAGGAUCAAGGCAAUGGAUUAAUGGAGACUCUAGACAUUUGUUUCCUCACCAGUGAAAAUUAAAUGAAGACCCAGGAAUCACUACAGCUAUGGGGAUGAGAAGGACAUUUCAGCAGCUAGAGUGUGGUGGCAUUAUUUACUCAGGAGAAAAAAGUAUAGGAAACUAAAGAAAAUACUGAAGAUAAUCUCAAAUGGUGACAAUCUUUUUCAAUCUCAUCUACACUUCAAUUUUGGAAUAGUCUAUAAUAUUUGAGAAUUAACAGAAAUAUUGCAAGAUAAAAGCUAGCAACUGUUAUGUAAAAGUAUCCAUUUUCCAUGGAUUCCCGCUAAAAGACUAACAGUUACUAAAUCAUCCCCACAAGCCAACUGCUUUUAAAAAGACCUCUACUACAACACAAGAUGGUGCCACUAACAUAUUAUGGUCAACACUUUGUGCCAUUAGACUACUUCUACCAACUGUCCUCAGCCAAUACAUUAACACAUCAACAUACAGGUGAAAAACUAAAUCAGUUCAAUAACCAACCUAUGGCCAAAGUGCAAUCCCAUAGCAAUCACUUUGCAGCACCUCCACUGGGCUCCAAUAAGAAGGUCCAGAGAUGCUCAGUAUUGCCUUCUCCCAAAUAUCAGGACAAAAUUUCACAGAGCUUCUGUGAUAGGAUUCUGAAUUCACCAUUGUUCCAUGCCAAGCAUCAGAACACACCUUCAAUAGGCCUCCACUGGAGAAGUUCAUUGUGGCCUGCUCAAAGAGCCCUGAACUCUCAUUUGUUGCACUCCAAAGCUCAAACAACGUCUUCAUCUGACCUCAACAUGACAUCAUCACUGGAGCUCAAACAAACAGCCCUGAGUUUACAACUACCCUUCUGUAAACCUCAAACAACAUCUUCAAGCCUAGAUGUUUGCUGGAGAUCACUUUCAUUGAAGUCUCAUCAAAGAGUCUCAAGUUCAUCAUUAUUUCGCCUCCAAAAUCAAGAAAUACCUUCCAUAAACAUCAUUUGGACAUCAUCUUCCUUGGGACCCAAACGAAAAGCCCUUAGCUCGACAUUGCUUCAAUCCAAACCUCAGAAAACAUCCUCAUUGGACUACCUUUGGACAUCUUCAUUGCAGCGCAAUCAAAGAUCUUUGAGUUCACCAUCACUCAACACAAAACUUCAAACAAGUGACUUAUUUUGGACAUCACCUUCUUUCAAACCCAAUCAAAUGGCUCUUACCUCUCCAUUACUUGACUCUAGGCUUCAGAAAACACCUAUAUUGAACUCUAACCCCACUACUGGAGGCUUACCAGUGUCCCAUUCAAAAGCAAGGCAAUCAGCAUCAUCAUAUUUUGUCCACCCAUCUGAGAAUUUACCAUUGUUUCAGCUCAAUUCUCAGUCAAUGUUUAUGCUUGAUUGUAACUUCCAGACCACGAAUUCACCUGUCUGUCACUCCAAGUUUCAGAAUACCACUUCACCAAAUGGCAAACACAGAGUCACACAUCUACCAUCACCCCAUCCAAAAACAAACAUCUCAGGUCAAUUAUUAUCAAGCUCCAAACACUGCACCAGGAACACAGCUGCUUCAACAUUAGGUUUCAGACUCCAGAGUAAAAGCAGCUUUCAGUUUUCUCCAAAGACAGAAUCAAAUAAAGAAAUUCCUUGGACUUUAAAGUAUAGUCAGGAA
RNAcentral lists this long non-coding RNA (1742 nucleotides) under Pan troglodytes (chimpanzee). RNAcentral describes it as "long non-coding RNA NONPTRT011486". The record is from RNAcentral. Lineage: Eukaryota; Metazoa; Chordata; Mammalia; Primates; Hominidae.